UGUUUGCGUACUUGUGUUUCGAGUUGCGUGGUCGUGCGGAGUUAUAUUUACCAAAUUUAAAUAUAAUCGUUUUCAAAAUUAAAUCAAUAUGGCUACUGGGUGUAAAAGAUAAAUCUUAUUCUAUCUGUUCUUAAUGAGUUUUAGAUAAUUUUAGUUGUAUUUCUUUGUAAUUUUGUGUUGUACAAAGAUUAAUUUAACAUUUUCUCUGGAAGUAUUAAUUUAGAAAGAUAAUAUGCUUCAUUGGUGUUGUGUUUUGAAGUGUGAAAUGCAAAGUAAUUGUGAUAGUUAAAUGCAAGAUAAAGUUCACUUUUAAACUGAACUAAAUAAGGUAUCUGAGAGACAGCAAUGGUUAAAUGCAAUACAAUGUACAGGUUUUACUAGCGAAAUGAAAAUUUUCCUGUCCUGUCUGCUGUAAUCAUUUUAUAUCUGGAAAACCAGCCGACUUAAUCGAUAAUAACAAUCUCCAGAUUGGGUUCCUUCAAUAAAUAUGGUCUAUAAACACAAUGAAAUAAGUUCCCCAAACUCUAAAAUGGAGUGGUAUUAAAGGAGAAUUAAAGGGAAAAAUAUUCAUAUUGAAAUUAUUUAUAAGGCACUGGACUGUCUUAAAUUCUACAAUAAUACUAGAAUCAGCUGAGAGAAGUGGUCUACAAAAAACCAUGAAGGAAACGGAAUAUGUGGCUACGAAAGGCAAAAGAAAGGUUUACAAAGCAAAUGUGACACAUCUUUUUGAAAUAUUUAGGAAUAUCAGUAAAUUGCAUUGAAAAAAUGUAUGAAAAGAUUUUGUUCAAUAAAAAUGUUUAUAUUUA
Long non-coding RNA from Diabrotica virgifera virgifera (western corn rootworm), 806 nucleotides. RefSeq lists it as uncharacterized. The transcript has 3 exons. NCBI's taxonomy places the organism in Eukaryota, Metazoa, Arthropoda, Insecta, Coleoptera, Chrysomelidae. The record is from RefSeq and is a predicted model, not a curated record.